This 2923-nucleotide ribosomal RNA is filed under the name Klebsiella pneumoniae. Its description in RNAcentral is "23S ribosomal RNA". It matches the Rfam family "Bacterial large subunit ribosomal RNA". The record is from RNAcentral. Lineage: Bacteria; Pseudomonadati; Pseudomonadota; Gammaproteobacteria; Enterobacterales; Enterobacteriaceae.
GGGUUGUGAGGUUAAGCGACUAAGCGUACACGGUGGAUGCCCUGGCAGUCAGAGGCGAUGAAGGACGUGCUAAUCUGCGAAAAGCGUCGGUAAGGUGAUAUGAACCGUUAUAACCGGCGAUGUCCGAAUGGGGAAACCCAGUGCAAUUCGUUGCACUAUCGUUAACUGAAUACAUAGGUUAACGAGGCGAACCGGGGGAACUGAAACAUCUAAGUACCCCGAGGAAAAGAAAUCAACCGAGAUUCCCCCAGUAGCGGCGAGCGAACGGGGAGCAGCCCAGAGUCUGAAUCAGCUUGUGUGUUAGUGGAACGGUCUGGAAAGUCCGACGGUACAGGGUGAUAGUCCCGUACACCAAAAUGCACAGGUUGUGAACUCGAAGAGUAGGGCGGGACACGUGGUAUCCUGUCUGAAUAUGGGGGGACCAUCCUCCAAGGCUAAAUACUCCUGACUGACCGAUAGUGAACCAGUACCGUGAGGGAAAGGCGAAAAGAACCCCGGCGAGGGGAGUGAAAAAGAACCUGAAACCGUGUACGUACAAGCAGUGGGAGCACCUUCGGGUGUGACUGCGUACCUUUUGUAUAAUGGGUCAGCGACUUAUAUUCUGUAGCAAGGUUAACCGUAUAGGGGAGCCGCAGGGAAACCGAGUCUUAACUGGGCGUUAAGUUGCAGGGUAUAGACCCGAAACCCGGUGAUCUAGCCAUGGGCAGGUUGAAGGUUGGGUAACACUAACUGGAGGACCGAACCGACUAAUGUUGAAAAAUUAGCGGAUGACUUGUGGCUGGGGGUGAAAGGCCAAUCAAACCGGGAGAUAGCUGGUUCUCCCCGAAAGCUAUUUAGGUAGCGCCUCGUGAAUUCAUCUUCGGGGGUAGAGCACUGUUUCGGCUAGGGGGUCAUCCCGACUUACCAACCCGAUGCAAACUACGAAUACCGAAGAAUGUUAUCACGGGAGACACACGGCGGGUGCUAACGUCCGUCGUGAAGAGGGAAACAACCCAGACCGCCAGCUAAGGUCCCAAAGUCAUGGUUAAGUGGGAAACGAUGUGGGAAGGCACAGACAGCCAGGAUGUUGGCUUAGAAGCAGCCAUCAUUUAAAGAAAGCGUAAUAGCUCACUGGUCGAGUCGGCCUGCGCGGAAGAUGUAACGGGGCUAAACCAUGCACCGAAGCUGCGGCAGCGACACUAUGUGUUGUUGGGUAGGGGAGCGUUCUGUAAGCCUGCGAAGGUGUGCUGUGAGGCAUGCUGGAGGUAUCAGAAGUGCGAAUGCUGACAUAAGUAACGAUAAAGCGGGUGAAAAGCCCGCUCGCCGGAAGACCAAGGGUUCCUGUCCAACGUUAAUCGGGGCAGGGUGAGUCGACCCCUAAGGCGAGGCCGAAAGGCGUAGUCGAUGGGAAACAGGUUAAUAUUCCUGUACUUGGUGUUACUGCGAAGGGGGGACGGAGAAGGCUAUGUUAGCCGGGCGACGGUUGUCCCGGUUUAAGCAUGUAGGCUGGUUGUCCAGGCAAAUCCGGAUAAUCAAGGCUGAGGUGUGAUGACGAGGCACUACGGUGCUGAAGUAACAAAUGCCCUGCUUCCAGGAAAAGCCUCUAAGCAUCAGGUAACAUUAAAUCGUACCCCAAACCGACACAGGUGGUCAGGUAGAGAAUACCAAGGCGCUUGAGAGAACUCGGGUGAAGGAACUAGGCAAAAUGGUGCCGUAACUUCGGGAGAAGGCACGCUGGUGUGUAGGUGAAGUCCCUGCGGAUGGAGCUGAGACCAGUCGAAGAUACCAGCUGGCUGCAACUGUUUAUUAAAAACACAGCACUGUGCAAACACGAAAGUGGACGUAUACGGUGUGACGCCUGCCCGGUGCCGGAAGGUUAAUUGAUGGGGUUAUCCGUAAGGAGAAGCUCUUGAUCGAAGCCCCGGUAAACGGCGGCCGUAACUAUAACGGUCCUAAGGUAGCGAAAUUCCUUGUCGGGUAAGUUCCGACCUGCACGAAUGGCGUAAUGAUGGCCAGGCUGUCUCCACCCGAGACUCAGUGAAAUUGAACUCGCUGUGAAGAUGCAGUGUACCCGCGGCAAGACGGAAAGACCCCGUGAACCUUUACUAUAGCUUGACACUGAACAUUGAGCCUUGAUGUGUAGGAUAGGUGGGAGGCUUUGAAGCGUGGACGCCAGUCUGCGUGGAGCCAACCUUGAAAUACCACCCUUUAAUGUUUGAUGUUCUAACGUUGGCCCCUUACCGGGGUUGCGGACAGUGUCUGGUGGGUAGUUUGACUGGGGCGGUCUCCUCCCAAAGCGUAACGGAGGAGCACGAAGGUUAGCUAAUCCUGGUCGGACAUCAGGAGGUUAGUGCAAUGGCAUAAGCUAGCUUGACUGCGAGCGUGACGGCGCGAGCAGGUGCGAAAGCAGGUCAUAGUGAUCCGGUGGUUCUGAAUGGAAGGGCCAUCGCUCAACGGAUAAAAGGUACUCCGGGGAUAACAGGCUGAUACCGCCCAAGAGUUCAUAUCGACGGCGGUGUUUGGCACCUCGAUGUCGGCUCAUCACAUCCUGGGGCUGAAGUAGGUCCCAAGGGUAUGGCUGUUCGCCAUUUAAAGUGGUACGCGAGCUGGGUUUAGAACGUCGUGAGACAGUUCGGUCCCUAUCUGCCGUGGGCGCUGGAGAAUUGAGGGGGGCUGCUCCUAGUACGAGAGGACCGGAGUGGACGCAUCACUGGUGUUCGGGUUGUCAUGCCAAUGGCACUGCCCGGUAGCUAAAUGCGGAAGAGAUAAGUGCUGAAAGCAUCUAAGCACGAAACUUGCCCCGAGAUGAGUUCUCCCUGAGACUUUAAGUCUCCUGAAGGAACGUUGAAGACGACGACGUUGAUAGGCCGGGUGUGUAAGCGCAGCGAUGCGUUGAGCUAACCGGUACUAAUGAACCGUGAGGCUUAACCUUACAACGCCGAAG